UACGGAAGGUCCGGGCGUUAUCCGGAUUUAUUGGGUUUAAAGGGAGCGUAGGCCGGAGAUUAAGCGUGUUGUGAAAUGUAGACGCUCAACGUCUGCACUGCAGCGCGAACUGGUUUCCUUGAGUACGCACAAAGUGGGCGGAAUUCGUGGUGUAGCGGUGAAAUGCUUAGAUAUCACGAAGAACUCCGAUUGCGAAGGCAGCUCACUGGAGCGCAACUGACGCUGAAGCUCGAAAGUGCGGGUAUCGAACAGGAUUAGAUACCCCGCCGGCUGACUGACU
RNAcentral lists this ribosomal RNA (280 nucleotides) under Segatella copri DSM 18205. RNAcentral describes it as "Prevotella copri DSM 18205 partial 16S ribosomal RNA". It matches the Rfam family "Bacterial small subunit ribosomal RNA", at positions 524 to 801 of the family's 1533-position model. Lineage: Bacteria; Pseudomonadati; Bacteroidota; Bacteroidia; Bacteroidales; Prevotellaceae. The record is from RNAcentral.